AGAGGUCGCCGAUUCGAGUGA
RNAcentral lists this non-coding RNA (21 nucleotides) under Arabidopsis thaliana (thale cress). The record is from RNAcentral. Lineage: Eukaryota; Viridiplantae; Streptophyta; Magnoliopsida; Brassicales; Brassicaceae.